AUUGAACGCUGGCGGCAUGCUUUACACAUGCAAGUCGAACGGCAGCGCGGGCUUCGGCCUGGCGGCGAGUGGCGAACGGGUGAGUAAUGCAUCGGAACGUGCCCAGUAGUGGGGGAUAGCCCGGCGAAAGCCGGAUUAAUACCGCAUACGACCUGAGGGUGAAAGCGGGGGACCGAAAGGCCUCGCGCUAUUGGAGCGGCCGAUGUCAGAUUAGCGAGUUGGUGGGGUAAAGGCUUACCAAGGCGACGAUCCGUAGCUGGUCUGAGAGGACGACCAGCCACAAUGGGACUGAGACACGGCCCAGACGCCUACGGGAGGCAGCAGUGGGGAAUGUUGGACAAUGGGGGCAACCCUGAUCCAGCCAUGCAGCGUGCGGGAAGAAGGCCUUCGGGUUGUAAACCGCUUUUGUUCGGGAAGAAAUCCUCUGGGCUAAUACCCCGGGGGGAUGAAGGUACCGGAAGAAUAAGCACCGGCUAACUACGUG
This 484-nucleotide ribosomal RNA is filed under the name uncultured bacterium. RNAcentral's name for it is "partial 16S ribosomal RNA". It matches the Rfam family "Bacterial small subunit ribosomal RNA", at positions 29 to 507 of the family's 1533-position model. The record is from RNAcentral.